CGAUCGUGACCACCUACACAUAUGGCUGUACGGACGAUGAUGCAUUAGUAGACUCCAUCCGAAAUAUCCAAUAGUAAAGUACCAGCAAGAAAAUCGUAUUAAUAAAUUGAGAACGACAAAUCAUCAUUACAAUUUGAUGCUAAUCACAUUCUACGUAAUUCAGAAGAAAAGUUGAGAAAAAGGACGAGAAGAGAAAAUAAUUUUACCUUCGAUCAGCCAUUCACCGGAUGCGCCCCAACCAGUGCACACUCCAAAGUAACCGAUUCCAAACGGUUCUGGAUCAGCAUAAGUUAGGAAUGCACUUGGUUCGCCUUCUUUACCUACUGAUAUAACACCAUCAUCCCAUCUGAAA
Molecule: long non-coding RNA, 352 nt
Organism: Frieseomelitta varia
Lineage: Eukaryota; Metazoa; Arthropoda; Insecta; Hymenoptera; Apidae
Exons: 2
Source: RefSeq, a predicted model, not a curated record